UACGAGUGCUCCAAGCGUUAUCCGGAAUUAUUGGGCGUAAAGGGUGUGUAGGUUGACCUGUUAGUCAGAUGUUAAAACUUCCCGCUUAACGGGAAAAGGGCAUUUGAAACGGCAGGACUAGAGGAUGCGAGAGGUGAACAGAACUCAUGGCGUAGGGGUGAAAUCCGUUGAUAUCAUGGGGAAUACCAAAUGCGAAGGCAGUUCACUGGCGCACUCCUGACACUGAAACACGAAAGCGUGGGUAGCGAACUGG
RNAcentral lists this ribosomal RNA (253 nucleotides) under uncultured bacterium. Its description in RNAcentral is "partial 16S ribosomal RNA". It matches the Rfam family "Bacterial small subunit ribosomal RNA", at positions 524 to 776 of the family's 1533-position model. The record is from RNAcentral.